This 962-nucleotide ribosomal RNA is filed under the name Rhizopus arrhizus. Its description in RNAcentral is "Rhizopus oryzae partial large subunit ribosomal RNA". It matches the Rfam family "Eukaryotic large subunit ribosomal RNA", at positions 37 to 931 of the family's 3401-position model. Lineage: Eukaryota; Fungi; Mucoromycota; Mucoromycetes; Mucorales; Rhizopodaceae. The record is from RNAcentral.
AGCAUAUCAAUAAGCGGAGGAAAAGAAAAUAACAAUGAUUUCCCUAGUAACGGCGAGUGAAGAGGAAAGAGCUCAAAGUUGGAACCUGUUUGGCCUAGCUAAACCGGAUUGUAGACUGUAGAAGUGUUUUCCAGGCAAGCCGAGUAAAUAAGUCCUUUGGAACAGGGCAUCAUAGAGGGUGAGAAUCCCGUCUUUGGCUUGAGCAUUUGCCUUUUGUGAUACGCUUUCAAAGAGUCAGGUUGUUUGGGAAUGCAGCCUAAAUUGGGUGGUAAAUCUCACCUAAAGCUAAAUAUUGGCGAGAAACCGAUAGCGAACAAGUACCGUGAGGGAAAGAUGAAAAGAACUUUGAAAAGAGAGUUAAACAGUAUGUGAAAUUGUUAAAAGGGAACCGUUUGGAGCCAGACUGGCUUGUCUGUAAUCAAUCUAGGCUUCGGCCUGGAUGCACUUGCAGGCUAUGCCUGCCAACGACAAUUUGACUUGAGGGAAAAAACUAAGGGAAAUGUGGCCCACUUGUGGGUGUUAUAGUCCCUUAGAAAAUACCUUGGGUUGGAUUGAGGAACGCAGCGAAUGCUUUUUGGCGAGUUUUCCAGGAAGGUUUUCUGAGGUACUACGGUAUCAAGGUUGAUCUUUUUGGUUAUACUUCUAUUCGCUUAGGUUGUUGGCUUAAUGACUCUAAAUGACCCGUCUUGAAACACGGACCAAGGAGUCCACCAUUAGUGCGAGUAUUUGGGUGCCAAACCCAUAUGCGUAAGGAAACUGAUUGAUACGAAUCCAUUAAGGAGGCAGUAUCGUCCGGCGCUGACGUUUUAUACUGAAUUGACCGAGACAAAGCACUAAUGAUGGGACCCGAAAGAUGGUGAACUAUGCCUGAAUAGGGUGAAGCCAGAGGAAACUCUGGUGGAGGCUCGUAGCGAUUCUGACGUGCAAAUCGAUCGUCAAAUUUGGGUAUAGGGGCGAAAGAC